GGGGGUGACUUGGCUUCGACAGGAGUAGAGUGGCCACGGUGGCAUGUCGCUUUGAGCAAAGCGUUAAAAGCUCACAACAAAUUAAACGCAAAUAACGUUAAAUUCGCUCCUGCUUACGCUAAAGUAGCGUAAGUUCAGUUGAGCCGGGCCAUUCGCCGAUACUAUUUAGGCGUUUUGUCCGUAACUUAGAUAGUGUAGCUUGAGUAUGUGACGAGUGCUUGAGUGAAAUUUAGUCUUAGCUUAAAACAGAUGUUUUGGAAAGUGUGCUUGUUUUGAGUGAAAUUCUACACUUUUGCUAAGCAUGUAGAGGCUUUGGUCUUUUGCUUUUGGACUGCGGUUCGACCCCGCACACCUCCACCA
RNAcentral lists this transfer-messenger RNA (360 nucleotides) under Campylobacter sp. It matches the Rfam family "transfer-messenger RNA". Rfam says of the family: Bacterial tmRNA, also known as 10Sa RNA or SsrA, is named for its dual tRNA and mRNA-like properties. RNAcentral also lists the same sequence under 1 other name. Lineage: Bacteria; Pseudomonadati; Campylobacterota; Epsilonproteobacteria; Campylobacterales; Campylobacteraceae. The record is from RNAcentral.